Non-coding RNA from Podarcis lilfordi (Lilford's wall lizard), 70 nucleotides. NCBI's taxonomy places the organism in Eukaryota, Metazoa, Chordata, Lepidosauria, Squamata, Lacertidae. The record is from the annotation of a GenBank genome assembly.
GUCGUAGCUCAGUGGUUAGAGCACCCACUUUGCAUGCAGAAGGUCCUAGGUUCAAUCCCUGGCAUCUCCG